This 85-nucleotide ribosomal RNA is filed under the name Escherichia coli. RNAcentral's name for it is "partial 16S ribosomal RNA". It matches the Rfam family "Bacterial small subunit ribosomal RNA", at positions 1 to 83 of the family's 1533-position model. Lineage: Bacteria; Pseudomonadati; Pseudomonadota; Gammaproteobacteria; Enterobacterales; Enterobacteriaceae. RNAcentral also lists the same sequence under 35 other names. The record is from RNAcentral.
UUAAAUUGAAGAGUUUGAUCAUGGCUCAGAUUGAACGCUGGCGGCAGGCCUAACACAUGCAAGUCGAACGGUAACAGGAAGCAGC